This 468-nucleotide ribosomal RNA is filed under the name uncultured bacterium. Its description in RNAcentral is "partial 16S ribosomal RNA". It matches the Rfam family "Bacterial small subunit ribosomal RNA", at positions 28 to 507 of the family's 1533-position model. The record is from RNAcentral.
GACGAACGCUGGCGGCGUGCUUAACACACGCAAGUCGAACGGCAAGGCCCUGCUUUUGUGGUGUGCUGGAGUGGCGAAAGGGUGAGUAACACGUGAGUAACCUGCCCUUGACUUUGGGAUACCUUCAGGAAACUGAGGCUACUACCAGAUAGCAUCUCCUGCUGCAUGGUAGGCAUUGGAAAGUUUGAGCGGGUGGGGAUGGACUCGCGGCUUAUCAGCUAGUUGGUUGGGUAGUGGCUGACGAAGUGAGUGACGGGUCGCCGGCCUGAGAGGGGGACCGGGCACAAUGGGACUGAGAGAGGGCCCAGACUCCUACGGGAGGCAGCAGUGGGGAAUAUUGCACAAUGGGCGGAAGCCUGAUGCAGCAACGCUGCGUGCGGGAUGACGGCCUUCGGGUUGUAAACCGCUGUCGCCUGUGACGAAGCGGGAGUGACGGUAAUGGGUAAAGAAGCACCGGCUAACUACGUG